AACGAACGCUGGCGGCAUGCCUAACACAUGCAAGUCGAACGAGACCUCCGGGUCUAGUGGCGCACGGGUGCGUAACGCGUGGGAACCUGCCCUUAGGCUCGGAAUAACUCCCCGAAAGGGGUGCUAAUACCGGAUAAUGUCUUCGGACCAAAGAUUCAUCGUCGUUGGAUGGGCCCGCGUUGGAUUAGCUAGUUGGUAGGGUAAAAGCCUACCAAGGCGACGAUCCAUAGCUGGUCUGAGAGGAUGAUCAGCCACACUGGGACUAAGACACGGCCCAGACUCCUACGGGAGGCAGCAGUGGGGAAUAUUGGACAAUGGGCGGAAGCCUGAUCCAGCAAUGCCGCGUGAGUGAUGAAGGCCUUAGGGUUGUAAAGCUCUUUUACCCGGGAUGAUAAUGACAGUACCGGGAGAAUAAGCUCCGGCUAACUCCGUG
This 433-nucleotide ribosomal RNA is filed under the name uncultured bacterium. Its description in RNAcentral is "partial 16S ribosomal RNA". It matches the Rfam family "Bacterial small subunit ribosomal RNA", at positions 29 to 507 of the family's 1533-position model. The record is from RNAcentral.